Molecule: ribosomal RNA, 1382 nt
Filed under: Nesodiprion zhejiangensis
Lineage: Eukaryota; Metazoa; Arthropoda; Insecta; Hymenoptera; Diprionidae
Description: 16S ribosomal RNA
Source: RNAcentral
AAUUAAUAAAUUAUUUAAUUUUUUAUUUAAAAAUUUUUAUUUAAUAAAAAUAUUUUUAUUAAAAUUAAUGUUUUAGUAUUUUUAAAAGAAUAAAUUAAUUUUAUUAUAGUGUAUUUGUAUAUUGAUAUAUAUUUGAAAUAAUUUGAAAAUAAAAAUUUUUAUUUAAGUAAAUUUUAUUUAUUGUACCUUGUGUAUCAGGGUUAAUUAAAAAAAUAAUAUUAAUUUAUAUUUAUCUCGAAUUUAAAAGAUCUAUUUAAUUUAUAAAAUUAUUUUUAAUGUUUAAUAAUUAUUUUAAAUUUUUAAAUAGAAAUGAGACGUUUUUCGUUUUUAAAAUUAUCUAGUUUUUUAAUAAAUAAAUUUAAUUUAGAUAUUAAAAUGAAUAAAUAUUUUAUUUAAAUAAAAUAAUUAUUUUUAAUAUUAAAGUUUUAAGGGAUUAGCUUUAAUUCUUAUUUUUAUAAUAAAUAAUAUUUUGAUUAAUAUUUUUAGGCUUAGAAAUAGUUUUAAUUUGAAAAUUGUAAUAAUUUUAUAUAAUUAUAUAUAUAUAUAUAUAUAUAUAUAUAUAUAUAUAUGAAUAAAUAAAUAAAUUUUAAUUUUAUUUAAUUUUAUAUUAAAAUAAUUUAAUUAAUAAUAUUUUAAUUUAAAUAAUGAUUAAAUUAGUAAAUAAAAAUAUAUUUUGUAUUUAUUUUAUGAAAGUUAAUUAUAAAGAAUUCGGCAAAAAAAAUAAUUCGCCUGUUUAACAAAAACAUGUCUUUUUGAUAUAAAUAAAAAGUCUGAUCUGCUCAAUGAAAAUUUUAAAUAGCCGCAGUAUCUUAACUGUGCAAAGGUAGCAUAAUAAUUUGUUCUUUAAUUUAGGACUAGAAUGAAUGAUUUGACGAGAUUAUUGCUGUUUCAUAAUUAUUAAUUAUUGAAUUUAAUUUUUAAGUUAAAAAGCUUAAAUUUUAUUAAAGGACGAGAAGACCCUAUAGAGUUUUAUAAUUAAAUUGAUUUUAUAAUAUAAUUAUUUUUAUUAAAUUGAUUAAAUUAUUUUGUUGGGGUGAUAAUUAAAUUUAAUAAACUUUUUAUUUAUUUUUACAUUUGUUAGUGAAUUUAUGAUCCUAUUUUUUAGAUUAAUAGAUUAAAUUACCUUAGGGAUAACAGCGUUAUUUUUUUUAAAGUUCUUAUUAACAUUAAAAAUUGCGACCUCGAUGUUGGAUUAAAAUUUAUUUUAGGUGUAGACGCUUAAAAAUUAGGUCUGUUCGACCUUUAAAAUUUUACAUGAUCUGAGUUCAAACCGGUUUAAGCCAGGUUGGUUUCUAUCCUUAAUUAUCAUAAAAAUUUUUAGUACGAGAGGACCAGAAUUUUAAAUUAUUUAAUUUUUAAUAAUGAAUUUUAAUAAUUUUUUA